RNAcentral lists this long non-coding RNA (201 nucleotides) under Elaeis guineensis (African oil palm). RNAcentral's name for it is "long non-coding RNA (EGUI_LNC040394)". Lineage: Eukaryota; Viridiplantae; Streptophyta; Magnoliopsida; Arecales; Arecaceae. The record is from RNAcentral.
ACCAAAAUCAAAAAGCACGUGCGCUCUUCUUAAAUUUGCACCACGAGUCCUUAACAAAAAGGACUCUUGGUUUUUGAUGUUUAGAUGAGUUGAGGUGCCUAUCUUUGGGCUGCUUCUAGGUGGCAUGACCUAACCCAAAUACACACCAAAUUAGGUUACCAAAUUAGCAAGGAUUGAGAUCAAAUUGAUCUCCCAAGGGGC